This 559-nucleotide ribosomal RNA is filed under the name uncultured bacterium. RNAcentral's name for it is "bacterial SSU rRNA". It matches the Rfam family "Bacterial small subunit ribosomal RNA", at positions 119 to 674 of the family's 1533-position model. The record is from RNAcentral.
AGGAAUCUGCCUAUUAGUGGGGGACAACGUUUCGAAAGGAACGCUAAUACCGCAUACGUCCUACGGGAGAAAGCAGGGGACCUUCGGGCCUUGCGCUAAUAGAUGAGCCUAGGUCGGAUUAGCUUGUUGGUGAGGUAAUGGCUCACCAAGGCGACGAUCCGUAACUGGUCUGAGAGGGUGAUCAGUCACACUGGAACUGAGACACGGUCCAGACUCCUACGGGAGGCAGCAGUGGGGAAUAUUGGACAAUGGGCGAAAGCCUGAUCCAGCCAUGCCGCGUGUGUGAAGAAGGUCUUCGGAUUGUAAAGCACUUUAAGUUGGGAGGAAGGGUUGUAGAUUAAUACUCUGCAAUUUUGACGUUACCGACAGAAUAAGCACCGGCUAACUCUGUGCCAGCAGCCGCGGUAAUACAGAGGGUGCAAGCGUUAAUCGGAAUUACUGGGCGUAAAGCGCGCGUAGGUGGUUUGUUAAGUUGGAUGUGAAAGCCCCGGGCUCAACCUGGGAACUGCAUCCAAAACUGGCAAGCUAGAGUACGGUAGAGGGUGGUGGAAUUUCCUGU